GACGAACGCUGGCGGCGUGCUUAACACAUGCAAGUCGAACGGAAAGGCCCUGCUUUUGUGGGGUGCUCGAGUGGCGAACGGGUGAGUAACACGUGAGUAACCUGCCCUUGACUUUGGGAUAACUUCAGGAAACUGGGGCUAAUACCGGAUAGGAGCUCCUGCUGCAUGGUGGGGGUUGGAAAGUUUCGGCGGUUGGGGAUGGACUCGCGGCUUAUCAGCUUGUUGGUGGGGUAGUGGCUUACCAAGGCUUUGACGGGUAGCCGGCCUGAGAGGGUGACCGGCCACAUUGGGACUGAGAUACGGCCCAGACUCCUACGGGAGGCAGCAGUGGGGAAUAUUGCACAAUGGGCGGAAGCCUGAUGCAGCAACGCCGCGUGCGGGAUGACGGCCUUCGGGUUGUAAACCGCUUUCGCCUGUGACGAAGCGUGAGUGACGGUAAUGGGUAAAGAAGCACCGGCUAACUACGUGCCAGCAGCCGCGGUGAUACGUAGGGUGCGAGCGUUGUCCGGAUUUAUUGGGCGUAAAGGGCUCGUAGGUGGUUGAUCGCGUCGGAAGUGUAAUCUUGGGGCUUAACCCUGAGCGUGCUUUCGAUACGGGUUGACUUGAGGAAGGUAGGGGAGAAUGGAAUUCCUGGUGGAGCGGUGGAAUGCGCAGAUAUCAGGAGGAACACCAGUGGCGAAGGCGGUUCUCUGGGCCUUUCCUGACGCUGAGGAGCGAAAGCGUGGGGAGCGAACAGGCCUAGAUACCCUGGUAGUCCACGCUGUAAACGGUGGGUACUAGGUGUGGGGUCCAUUCCACGGGUUCCGUGCCGUAGCUAACGCUUUAAGUACCCCGCCUGGGGAGUACGGCCGCAAGGCUAAAACUCAAAGGAAUUGACGGGGCCCCGCACAAGCGGCGGAGCAUGCGGAUUAAUUCGAUGCAACGCGUAGAACCUUACCUGGGUUUGACAUGGAUCGGGAGUGCUCAGAGAUGGGUGUGCCUCUUUUGGGGUCGGUUCACAGGUGGUGCAUGGCUGUCGUCAGCUCGUGUCGUGAGAUGUUGGGUUAAGUCCCGCAACGAGCGCAACCCUUGUUCACUGUUGCCAGCACGUUAUGGUGGGGACUCAGUGGAGACCGCCGGGGUCAACUCGGAGGAAGGUGGGGAUGACGUCAAGUCAUCAUGCCCCUUAUGUCCAGGGCUUCACGCAUGCUACAAUGGCUGGUACAGAGAGUGGCGAGCCUGUGAGGGUGAGCGAAUCUCGGAAAGCCGGUCUCAGUUCGGAUUGGGGUCUGCAACUCGACCUCAUGAAGUCGGAGUCGCUAGUAAUCGCAGAUCAGCAACGCUGCGGUGAAUAAGUUCCCGGG
This 1343-nucleotide ribosomal RNA is filed under the name uncultured bacterium. RNAcentral's name for it is "16S ribosomal RNA". It matches the Rfam family "Bacterial small subunit ribosomal RNA", at positions 28 to 1378 of the family's 1533-position model. The record is from RNAcentral.